GAUGAAGAACGCAGCGAAAUGCGAUAAGUAAUGCGAAUUGCAGAAUUCAGUGAGUCAUCGAAUCUUUGAACGCACAUUGCGCCCUGUGGUAUUCCGCAGGGCAUGCCUGUUCGAGCGUCAUUUCAACCCUCAAGCUCUGCUUGGUGUUGGGCCACGCCCUCGCGGCCGGCCCCAAAGCCAGUGGCGGCGCCGUCCGGCUCUAAGCGUAGUACAUCUCUCGCUCUAGGGCCCGGCGGCUGCCUGCCAGAACCCCAAACUCUUAUGGUUGACCUCGGAUCAGGUAGGGAUACCCGCUGAACUUAAGCAUACAAUAAGCGGAGGA
RNAcentral lists this unclassified non-coding RNA (322 nucleotides) under soil metagenome. Its description in RNAcentral is "partial contains 5.8S ribosomal RNA, internal transcribed spacer 2, and large subunit ribosomal RNA". The stretch from base 1 to 120 matches the Rfam family "5.8S ribosomal RNA", at positions 35 to 154 of the family's 154-position model. The record is from RNAcentral.